GCUUGAGCACGUAGGUGGGUUUGUAAGUCAGAUGUGAAAGCCUUCUGUUCAACGGAAGAAUUGCAUCUGAAACUUCAAGUCUUGAGUGUAGGAGGGGAGAAUGGAACUUCUGGUGGAGCGGUGAAAUCCGUAGAUAUCAGAAGGAACGCCGGCGGCGAAAGCGAUUCUCUGGCCUAUUACUGACACUCAGUGUGUGAAAGCUAGGGGAGCAAACGGGAUUAGAUACCCCGGUAGUCCUAGCCGUAAACGAUGGGCACUAAGUAGAGGGGAUUACCGACGUUCUCUCUGCCGUAGCUAACGCAUUAAGUGCCCCGCCUGGGGAGUACGGCCGCAAGGCUAAAACUCAAAAGAAUUGACGGGGGCUCGCACAAGCGGUGGAGCAUGUGGCUUAAUUCGAUGCAACGCGAAGAACCUUACCGGGGCUUGACAUGGUAGAAGUAGGAACCCGAAAGGGUAACGAACGGUAUCCAGUCCGUGACUAUCACAGGUGUUGCAUGGCUGUCGUCAGCUCGUGUCGUGAGACGUUGGGUUAAGUCCCCUAACGAGCGAAACCCUUGUUUUUAGUUACCAGCGGGUUAUGCCGGGUACUCUAGAAAGACUGCCGUCGUCAAGACGGAGGAAGGUGGGGAUGACGUCAAGUCAUCAUGGCCCUUAUGCCCCGGGCUGCACACGUGCUACAAUGGUCGGUACAAACGGAAGCGAAGCCGAGAGGUGAAGCGAAUCCAAGC
This 728-nucleotide ribosomal RNA is filed under the name uncultured Planctomycetota bacterium. Its description in RNAcentral is "bacterial SSU rRNA". It matches the Rfam family "Bacterial small subunit ribosomal RNA", at positions 558 to 1278 of the family's 1533-position model. The record is from RNAcentral. Lineage: Bacteria; Pseudomonadati; Planctomycetota.